This is a long non-coding RNA of Lacerta agilis (Sand lizard), 1554 nucleotides long. RefSeq lists it as uncharacterized. The transcript is spliced from 3 exons. NCBI's taxonomy places the organism in Eukaryota, Metazoa, Chordata, Lepidosauria, Squamata, Lacertidae. The record is from RefSeq and is a predicted model, not a curated record.
UUCCAUUACCACACCAAUCCGGUGCAAUUUCUUUUUUUGACCUUGAAGAUAGUGCCUGGUGCCUGGAGACUCUCGGCUCCUGCAAUCUUCACUGAGACAACUGCAAAUGAUAAACCCUUCUUGGUGUCAAAAUGUAGUGUGGAUGACCCUCAACUGCUAAAACUGGAGCUGAAAAACAGCUGCAUUGCACUGCAGCCUCAAAGCUUCAUACAGCCAGCUGUAAGCUUUAGAAUUCAAAUGGAUAUACAGGAUUAUGCAGAGGAACAACAUACCACUGUAUAUGAAUGAAAGCUAUGGGAAAAAGCAUCUAUUUGUUGAGACAAAGAAGACCAACAUUCUCACUAUUCAAGGAAGAAUUCAAGACAUUUUUAAAAACCACAAUAGACAAUCCAUUUUAAUAAGGUAUUAAUCAAUUGCAUGGAGGGUAAUCUUUGUGACUGGAUCUCAUCUCUUUUGUGUGAAGUUGGAGGAGGAGGAAGAGAAACGGGUCUACUGCAUCUGUGCCAUCACUCCCAUUGCCUCAAAAUCCCUCCAGGUUCCCUUUACAAGUCUAAGACUGCACACAUGGGGAAGGAAGUAUGUGGGGAGACAGUUACCCCACCUGAGAAGACCACAGAGAUUUCACAGGAGAGGCAGUAUAGCCUGAAGCUAUGGACUUUUUCUGCCGUUGUCUUUUGUGUGGUGCAACCUCCAAAGGAAGAAGUAGUAGAAAACCAUAAUGUGGCUUCGCUGGAGUUGCCUGACCAGGAACAGAAAGAAAGCCACAAGGAGAUUUGGUGCUAAUCAUGGAGAAACUGCACUGCAUGCUUUAUAUCCAGGGAGUCAUCAUAGAGAAAUCAAUGUCAUUGAUUAUCAUGCUGAAGCCAAAGGUAGGAACAAGGAAAAUGCCUGCAAUAAACUAAAGUACCCUGAGCUGCUGUUGGAAAUGAUGCUCUCAGUAUGUUUUUCCAUCUAAUGCAAUAACCAAACAAUGUUGUUAAGGGUGUGGGAAAGUAUUUCUUGAGCAAGUAUUGUUCUUGAAGAAUAGUUGAUCUCAACUCAGUUAUUGCCAGUAAAGAAUUUUCUUAGCCACCAGGACCAGCUAACUCAACAAAGACACCUCUACAUCAAAUUGAAUUAAAUGAGCCAGAUACUUUAGUACAGUAUUCUUUUCAAGGUUCUGUUUUGCUCUUGACUGGCUGGCCAAGUGAGCAAAGAUACUUUAUUUAAAAAUAUAAGAAAAGCUCAUUGCAAUGAGAGAAGCUGUGUAAGUUAACCCAAGAUACUGAGAUGCAAUUGAAUACUCUUCACAGACACUGGAGAAGAUAGUGUUGAUAAUAAAGCCUUGGCUAUAUGCACAGCACAGAGAUAGAAAAGUUUAGCAGAUUCAGCAAUCUUGGCUUUGUUCAUUCAUAAGUUCUACUUGUAAACCUAAAAGGAGUCUAUAAAAAAACUUAUGACAUUUAUGGCUUAUCAGUCAAAUGCCCCUGAUAAAAUAUUGCUAGCCAAGCAGCAAAAAUCAGCAUGAUUACUCAACAAAGCUUAGAAACCCAAAACAUCCUGAACAUUUCAAUA